AUUGAACGCUGGCGGCAGGCCUAACACAUGCAAGUCGAGCGAGCGGCGGACGGGUGAGUAAUGUAUGGGGACUGCCCGAUAGAGGGGGAUAACUACUGGAAACGGUAGCUAAUACCGCAUACUAUCGGAUAACCCAUAUGGGAUUAGCUAGUAGGUGAGGUAAUGGCUCACGUAGGCGAAGAUCCCUAGCUGGUCUGAGAGGAUGAUCAGCCACACUAGGACGGAGACAGGGCCCAGAGUCCUACGGAGGCAGCAGUGGGGAAUAUUGCACAGUGGGCGCAAUCCGGAUGCAGCCAUGCCGCGUGUAUGAAGAAGGCCCUAGGGUUGUAAAGUACUUUCAGUCGGAAGGCGUUACCGACAGAAGAAGCGCCGGCUAACUCCGUGCCAGCAGCCGCGGUAAUUC
Molecule: ribosomal RNA, 403 nt
Filed under: uncultured bacterium
Lineage: Bacteria
Description: partial 16S ribosomal RNA
Rfam family: Bacterial small subunit ribosomal RNA
Source: RNAcentral